CAAUGCACCUAUCUUCCAUGUGGCUGAACAAAUUUCUGUGGCUGCAAAUGGAUCCAAAAAGGAGCAAGUUUCUCAGGAGUAUGCUUCAACGUCUACCUCCAGUUACCAGAUUGACCUGUGGAAGUGAAUUUUUAUAUAUAUAUAUAUAUAUAUAGUAACUAUAAAUAAGAUACGAUGCAUAAUACCAAUUAUAGGAAGUACGUACAAGUGAAUGUUGGAAAAAAAAGACCAUAGUGUUGUUGCUACGUGUUGUUGUACAUAAGAAGCCUAAAAUGUUUUAUAUAUCAUUAGUUGUUGAACCUCUUGAGGCUGGAGUAUAUGGACUGAAAAUGUAUCCAUUAGUUGCAAUUCUUCAGUUGCAAAAAAUACGCCUAUAUAUAGAAAACAAAUUAGUGCUUCAAGGUCAACUCUAUAGCAGGAAGUGAUCCUUAUGAUGGAAAGAGUUCUAUGAAUUAAUGUUACAAGUGAUUUGUUCACUACAGCUUAAUGCUGCAUUUAUUACAAAAGUUACAUAUGUUUUCAGUUUGCAUUUGAAAUAGCCAAUUUCUUGGAUCUACCAGAAGUUUAAGAAUGGAGGGAUGAGAUAUUUGAGAAUCUAAACUAAACGUGCUUCUGAUAUAUACGUCACUCCACUGUGCCAGUUUAGAAUUGACUGACUGUUAUAUGGCCUUUGCUGCAAGCGUACAAUUUCUGUAUAGCAUAUAAGAUGUGAAAUUUUAAACACCAAGUUGAAGGGAUUAACCAAUGAAAUUGACAGAAAAUCAUUAACUAUAUAUGCGCAUGUAUUCUUUCAUUAGUUUUGUUCGUUCAAGUGGACAGACUCUCGAAUCAAAAUUUAGAUUGAGUUUAGGCUUUUACAACAUUGGGAAAUACCAAAGAGUAAUUAUGUAUGAGCACCCAAAAAUUACAAAUAUCUAUUUCACAUCCUUUAUUUAUUUUUUAUCUUUCACUUUCUAUCAAAUCAUCACUUAUCAUAUUUGUAUUUUUUUUCUUAAUGUGUCAUAUAACAUGGAAAUGUCUAAACAUGCAUCUUUUAUUGGUUAUGACUUGAGAUUUUAGCGAUAUAACCAAAAAAAAAAACUUUAGAAUCUCUAUUUUUUAUUAUGUGAAAGAAAAUUAAAUCAUAAGAUUAGAUUAAAAAAAUUAAACUCUUUUUUAUAUUUACUUUAUCUUGUUUUUUGUCAAAUACCAAUUAUUUUGUUUUUGUUUCGUUAAAAAAAUUAACACAUUCUUUCAUACACUGUGUAUACCUAGUUUUUUUUAUAGAAUAUAUAUAUAUAUAUAUAUAUAUAUAUAUAUAUAUAUAUAUAUAUAUAUGUUAUAAACAAGCUACAUCUUAGAUAUAUUUUUAAAUAAUUAAAAUUAUAAUUAUAACUUAUUCUUGUUUUUUUUCUUUUAAAAUAAGUUUUAGCAAAUCUUUUAAAUAAUAUUUUUGAAGUUGGUAAACUUACCACAGCGUAUUUGAGUUGAUCGUAGGACUCCGGCCUAAGUUUACCUAAGUUAAAAUAAUAUUUUUGAGUUGAUCGUACGAGUCGUGCCUAAGUUUACCUCUUUUUUUUUUUUUCAAAGCAAAUUGAUUAUAUUAAUACUAAGAAGGGUAGCACUUGUCACAAGGAGUUCCAAAUGCCCCCAGAACCGAGAAUUACAAAAGGAAAAAAGUUCCAGCAGCAGUUCCGUUACAUAUAUUAAUGUAAUCCUAAACUUUUGAUCAUACCUCGCUAAGAAAUGUAAGAUCGCUUGUAAAUGGAGUCAUUCUAUUAGAAGUCAAGUUUAUUUAUUAAUUUUUUGAGGAUACGAUAAAUCGGUACCUUAACGCUAAAAACAAAUUGUGUGGAAAGAUAAAAUAUUCCAUGACGUACAAUUUCGAUUAAAUACUUUACAAGAUGAAUUCUUCAUAUUGGAGUUAUUAAUUAGUUUAAAGGAAUAGAUAGAAUCCGUGUGAAAGUCUUCUACGUGUACCACAAACUACAGCGACAUUUAAGUUGAAGGAUAAUUCUACCCUAACCUAAUUUUUUGACGACACAUUUCUUAUAAUUCAAGAGAGUGAUAAGAAAAAAAAAAGUAUAUAAGAUGAGUAAUUGAGUACAUGCAGUACUGUCUGCAUAUUGAUGCAUGUAAUUCAAGAAGGGUUGGAGCUGCUCAAAAUGGGGUAGUUUUACUUUUAAAAUUAUUAAAGUAGUAUUUUAAAAAAAAAUACCAGUACUAAUCGGAUUUAAAGUCAACUUUUAAUUUUCUAAAAUACAUUUAGAGUGAUUUGACAGCAUGAAAAAAAAAAUUGCGGCAAUUUGUAACUGCAAUAAAAUAGAAAUAUUAAGCAAAGUUGACUAAUAGAAAUUCAACUUACCCCAUAUAAGUAUUUUCUUAAAAAAAAAAAAUACUACUUCAGUAAUUUUAUAAGAAGUUAUACUAACUUUGAGAUGUUGUAGCCGAAAACAAUACAGCAGUAAUAGCUGGCUAAAAGAAAAAUGUUAAUUUUAUGCUCACUUCCGUGCUAUAGAUACGCACAUAUAGAAAGAGAUCAAAAAGAAAAAGAAAAUCAUAAGUAAUAACAUGUGAUAAAAAAUAGAAGGAAAAAAAAGUGUCGAUGAAAUGUUUAUCGGUAUAUACAUACAAAUCAAAACUAUAGCUAAUGCAUGAGAGCGUUAAUUAAGAACACUGCUGAAAGUUAUACGGCAUUGAUAAAAAUUAACGAGUUUAACUUUAUAAUUGAUUUCAAACUAAAACGAAGAUACGAUCAUAUCAAAGUCUCGGAAAGAUACCAAUUACAGAAACUCUUGAAUCCAAAAAUGCCGUUUAUAUCAAACUACUAUUACCUUAACUAAGAGACUUAUUUUGCUCCAUUCUCAGGGCAUACCUGUGUAUAUAUGAAGAUGGCUCCUCAGCUACCCCAGCCAAAACAUUCUUCCGUCUAUCACAUGCAUUCUCAAAAUGUUUCAACAUAACCGGGUCCCAAGUAGAGGGAUUCAUUCAAAAGGUUCCACCAAGAGUGACGUGAGUUUCCAAAAGUUGUUGGUUUUAUAUACCAAUAACAAAGCAAAUCUCAAACGACCAAUCAUAUAUGUGAAUGCUAUUCAAGGACAACGAAUAGUUACUUGUGUGGCUGUUAUUGAAAAUCGACGACAGAUGUAAAUUCUUUUGUCGGGGUC
This 3146-nucleotide long non-coding RNA is filed under the name Glycine max (soybean). RNAcentral's name for it is "long non-coding RNA (GMAX_LNC000980)". The record is from RNAcentral. Lineage: Eukaryota; Viridiplantae; Streptophyta; Magnoliopsida; Fabales; Fabaceae.